GUGCUUGUUUUGGGAGUACAUAUUGUAAAAUUGGAAUGAAAAUACCUAGACUAGCAUGGACCCUGAUCAAAGAUGACAGACAAAUUUGUGAAGCGUUCGUAUUUUUA
This is a small nuclear RNA of Delphinapterus leucas (beluga whale), 107 nucleotides long. NCBI's taxonomy places the organism in Eukaryota, Metazoa, Chordata, Mammalia, Artiodactyla, Monodontidae. The record is from Ensembl.